Non-coding RNA from Sesamum indicum (sesame), 277 nucleotides. The record is from RefSeq and is a predicted model, not a curated record. NCBI's taxonomy places the organism in Eukaryota, Viridiplantae, Streptophyta, Magnoliopsida, Lamiales, Pedaliaceae.
GAGUGGUCUCGGUUGGAGAUGGUAUUGCACGUGUUUAUGGAUUGAACGAGAUUCAAGCUGGGGAGAUGGUGAACAGUUGGGAGUACAAACUCUGAAACCUAAUGAAAAUCUUGGAACAUAUUGAACUGAAUAUGAAACAGAUUACACGCCAACCAGCCACUGCUGGCAACUAAAAGAACUACAACCGGUAGCAAAAUCAAAGAAUAGGGACUGCGACUGAUCUUUCAGAGUAGUUGGUGCAUGCUAAGGCAAGAAUUUCACUUCCUCAGAAUCCCGA